GCAGGAUGAAGCGAAAGUAAAAUUUCGUGGAGGUCCGAACCCACGAGCGUUGAAAAGCUCGGGGAUGACUUGUGGGUAGCGGUGAAAUUCCAAUCGGGCCCGGAGAUAGCUGGUUCUCCCCGAAAUAGCUUUAGGGCUAGCCUCAAGGUGAGAGAUACGGAGGUAGAGCACUGAAUGUCCUAGGGGGUAUUGCACCUACCGAAGACUAUCAAACUCCGAAUGCC
RNAcentral lists this ribosomal RNA (224 nucleotides) under Clostridioides difficile. RNAcentral's name for it is "partial 23S ribosomal RNA". It matches the Rfam family "Bacterial large subunit ribosomal RNA", at positions 740 to 964 of the family's 2925-position model. Lineage: Bacteria; Bacillati; Bacillota; Clostridia; Peptostreptococcales; Peptostreptococcaceae. The record is from RNAcentral.